Molecule: long non-coding RNA, 429 nt
Organism: Saccostrea cuccullata (small rock oyster)
Lineage: Eukaryota; Metazoa; Mollusca; Bivalvia; Ostreida; Ostreidae
Exons: 3
Source: RefSeq, a predicted model, not a curated record
AGCAAAAUACGCGUACGCACUCAACAAUACCACCGUCUAUUUCUACAGCACAAACAGCCUGCAACGACAGCCCCAGUGCCAAUUGUUCUCUCUACAACGCCACGGUUAUAUGUGAUCUACACGGUGCUUAUUACCUCUGGGCAAGGAAACACUGUCCUCUGUUCUGUGGAUUUUGUCACGUAGCUUUAUGCAAAGAUGAACCAAGUGCUAACUGUGCUCUUUACAAUUCAACUGCAAUUUGUGAUGUGAAUGGUCCUUUCUACACUUGGGCCAGAAGGAAUUGUGAGAAGAGCUGCGGAUUCUGUCAAGGUUUUGUUUGUUUGUUGGUUAACGUCUCUUAGGAUAAUUUUUCACCAAUAUCGAGACGCUUCCACUUACUGAUGGAAAGUUGCAAAUUUUGACAUGCUCAGCAACUAGGGCAAUUCAGUA